AGCGAACGCUGGCGGCAGGCCUAACACAUGCCAGUCGAACGAACUCUUCGGAGUUAGUGGCGGACGGGUGAGUAACACGUGGGAACGUGCCUUUUGGUUCGGAAUAACUCAGGGAAACUUGUGCUAAUACCGAAUGUGCCCUUCGGGGGAAAGAUUUAUCGCCAUUAGAGCGGCCCGCGUCUGAUUAGCUAGUUGGUGAGGUAACGGCUCACCAAGGCGACGAUCAGUAGCUGGUCUGAGAGGAUGACCCGCCACACUGGGACUGCGACACGGCCCAGACUCCUACGGGAGGCAGCAGUGGGGAAUCUUGCGCAAUGGGCGAAAGCCUGACGCAGCCAUGCCGCGUGAAUGAUGAAGGUCUUAGGAUUGUAAAAUUCUUUCACCGGGGACGAUAAUGACGGUACCCGGAGAAGAAGCCCCGGCUAACUUCGUG
Molecule: ribosomal RNA, 433 nt
Filed under: uncultured bacterium
Lineage: Bacteria
Description: partial 16S ribosomal RNA
Rfam family: Bacterial small subunit ribosomal RNA
Source: RNAcentral